AUUCAGAUUUCAGCCUCUGCUUCAGCCGACACUCUUCACUCUUCAGUGGCGGAUGCCCUUGUCUCUCAAACCUAGGGCCGAAGACUACCGUUAAAACCCCUCAAACUGCUUGAAUCGAAUCCCUUUCUCUUCAGCCCUGUUUCUCCGUUGUCGUCCUUUUUUACCUUCAAGUAAAGGGACGCUGCCAAAAGGCCGCCGACGCCGGAGCCGGGUGCUUUAGCUAUCAAGGCACGUACAUUUCCAAUAAUACUAAGAUAGAAUGAAGCUCUGGUGGUCACAUGCGACAUGUUCUGAAGUAUACAUAUGCCUGGAAUGAAGCGACAUGCUCUGGAAUGAAGACAGCUUCUUGAUUUAUGCAUAGUCAAUGCAUUAUGCCAUGUUUGCUGGAUUUGAGAAUGUCUAUAUAGUGUAUAUUUUUCUCAUUUAUAUACCCUUUUUGGAAGUUAUGUAUCAAAGUAGAUAUUUCUAACUUUAUGAUUUGGUGUGGAACUACUGCUACUGAUCAUUUUUGAGAUUUGAA
Coffea arabica (coffee) is the source of this 520-nucleotide non-coding RNA. The record is from RefSeq and is a predicted model, not a curated record. NCBI's taxonomy places the organism in Eukaryota, Viridiplantae, Streptophyta, Magnoliopsida, Gentianales, Rubiaceae.